GUAUGAUAAUAUAAUUUUCAAAAAAUUCUGGGAGGCUGGUCCGAAAAUCAAAUCCAUCCCAAAGUAAUAUUUUCAGUAGGUGCACACAAGGUGGGUAUGGAUACUUGAAUCCAUAUUGGGUUCAAUUGCCCUACGGAAA
Molecule: unclassified non-coding RNA, 139 nt
Filed under: uncultured fungus
Lineage: Eukaryota; Fungi
Description: sequence contains ITS1
Source: RNAcentral